CCUACGUGUGGCAGCAGUGAGGAAUAUUGGUCAAUGGGCGCGAGCCUGAACCAGCCAAGUCGCGUGAGGGAUGACUGUCCUAUGGAUUGUAAACCUCUUUUGUCGGGGAGCAAGGCCCGCCACGUGUGGCGUGAAGGAGAGUACCCGAAGAAAAAGCAUCGGCUAACUCCGUGCAAGCAGCCGGUAAUCAGGGGGAUGCGAACGUUAUCCGGGUUUAUUGGGUUUAAAGGGUGCGUAGGCGGAAGUUUAAGUCAGCGGUCAAAUGUCGGUGCUCAACCACGGUCUGCCGUUGAUACUGGUAUUCUUGAGUGAGCGAGAAGUAUGCGGAAUGCGUGGUGUAGCGGUGAAAUGCAUAGAUAUCACGCAGAACUCCGAUUGCGAAGGCAGCAUACCGGCGCUCAACUGACGCUGAGGCACGAAAGCGUGGGGAUCGAACAGGAUUAGAUACCCCAGUAGUC
RNAcentral lists this ribosomal RNA (458 nucleotides) under uncultured bacterium. RNAcentral's name for it is "partial 16S ribosomal RNA". It matches the Rfam family "Bacterial small subunit ribosomal RNA", at positions 338 to 795 of the family's 1533-position model. The record is from RNAcentral.